This 242-nucleotide ribosomal RNA is filed under the name uncultured Lactobacillus sp. RNAcentral's name for it is "partial 16S ribosomal RNA". It matches the Rfam family "Bacterial small subunit ribosomal RNA", at positions 122 to 355 of the family's 1533-position model. The record is from RNAcentral. Lineage: Bacteria; Bacillati; Bacillota; Bacilli; Lactobacillales; Lactobacillaceae.
UAACCUGCCCAAGAGAUCGGGAUAACACCUGGAAACCAGAUGCUAAUACCGGAUAACAACAGAUGAUGCCUAUCAACUGUUUAAAAGAUGGUUCUGCUAUCACUCUUGGAUGGACCUGCGGUGCAUUAGCUAGUUGGUAGGGUAACGGCCUACCAAGGCGAUGAUGCAUAGCCGAGUUGAGAGACUGAUCGGCCACAGUUGGGACUGAGACACGGCCCAAACUCCUACGGGAGGCAGCAGCU